Molecule: ribosomal RNA, 596 nt
Filed under: uncultured bacterium
Lineage: Bacteria
Description: bacterial SSU rRNA
Rfam family: Bacterial small subunit ribosomal RNA
Source: RNAcentral
AAUAUAUCGGAACGUGCCCAGUCGUGGGGGAUAACGUAGAGAAAUUUACGCUAAUACCGCAUACGAUCUAAGGAUGAAAGCGGGGGACCGUAAGGCCUCGCGCGAUUGGAGCGGCUGAUAUCAGAUUAGGUUGUUGGUGAGGUAAAAGCUCACCAAGCCGACGAUCUGUAGCUGGUUUGAGAGAACGACCAGCCACACUGGGACUGAGACACGGCCCAGACUCCUACGGGAGGCAGCAGUGGGGAAUUUUGGACAAUGGGCGAAAGCCUGAUCCAGCAAUGCCGCGUGCAGGAAGAAGGCCUUCGGGUUGUAAACUGCUUUUGUACGGAACGAAACGGCUCUUUCUAAUAAAGAGGGCUAAUGACGGUACCGUAAGAAUAAGCACCGGCUAACUACGUGCCAGCAGCCGCGGUAAUACGUAGGGUGCGAGCGUUAAUCGGAAUUACUGGGCGUAAAGCGUGCGCAGGCGGUUAUGUAAGACAGUUGUGAAAUCCCCGGGCUCAACCUGGGAAUUGCAUCUGUGACUGCAUGGCUAGAGUACGGUAGAGGGGGAUGGAAUUCCACGUGUAGCAGUGAAAUGCGUAGAGAUGUGGAGG